CGCCUUGUCAAAGAAACCCAUAGGAGCGAUAUGCUUAGCUCCGUUUUUCGUCGCCAAAGUAUUGUGCGGCACGAAAAUAACCUUAGGAAAGACGAGUCCUCCGGCCAAAUGGCCCCAUUCCUCGGCGAUUGCAGAGGCGCGAAAAAUCGGAGCUAAAAUCGAGGAACGCGACGUUACACAGGUUACCCAUUGCAAAGAGCACGAUGUCUUCAGUACACCGGCCUGGAUGUACAACGGAACUUACGCCGACGUUCACGAUGGCAUUGGAAGGCUGGUGAAAGCUCUGAAAAAGAGGAUUAGAUAGGCA
Molecule: unclassified non-coding RNA, 307 nt
Filed under: Athalia rosae (coleseed sawfly)
Lineage: Eukaryota; Metazoa; Arthropoda; Insecta; Hymenoptera; Athaliidae
Description: misc RNA ENSAEAG00005003678.1
Source: RNAcentral